Molecule: ribosomal RNA, 473 nt
Filed under: uncultured bacterium
Lineage: Bacteria
Description: partial 16S ribosomal RNA
Rfam family: Bacterial small subunit ribosomal RNA
Source: RNAcentral
GAUAAACGCUGGCGGCGCACAUAAGACAUGCAAGUUGAACGGACUUAAUCGAACUAUUUAUAUUUUGAAGCGGUUAGUGGCGGACUGGUGAGUAACGCGUAAGGAACCUGCCUAUUAGAGGGGAAUAACAGUGAGAAAUCAUUGCUAAUACCGCAUAUGCCAUAGAUAUCACAUGAUAACAGUGGGAAAGGAGCAAUCCGCUAAUAGAUGGCCUUGCGUCUGAUUAGAUAGUUGGUGGGGUAACGGCCUACCAAGUCGACGAUCAGUAGCCGGACUGAGAGGUUGAACGGCCACAUUGGGACUGAGAUACGGCCCAGACUCCUACGGGAGGCAGCAGUCGGGAAUAUUGCGCAGUGGAGGAAACUCUGACGCAGUGACGCCGCGUAGAGGAAGAAGGUUUUCGGAUUGUAAACUAUUGUCGUUAGGGAAGAGAAAGGACAGUACCUAAGGAGGAAGCUCCGGCUAACUACGUG